Molecule: ribosomal RNA, 465 nt
Filed under: uncultured bacterium
Lineage: Bacteria
Description: partial 16S ribosomal RNA
Rfam family: Bacterial small subunit ribosomal RNA
Source: RNAcentral
CUACGGGUGGCUCCAGUGGGGAAUAUUGGACAAUGGGGGAAACCCUGAUCCAGCAAUGCCGCGUGUGUGAAGAAGGCCUGCGGGUUGUAAAGCACUUUCGGUUGGGAGGACUGCUUCUAGCACUAAUAUUGUUGGAAGUUGACGUUACCUUCAGAAGAAGCACCGGCUAACUCCGUGCCAGCAGCCGCGGUAAUACGGAGGGUGCAAGCGGUAAUCGGAAUUACUGGGCGUAAAGCGCGCGUGGGCGGCUAGAUCAGUCGGGUGUGAAAGCCCCGGGCUUAACCUGGGAACUGCAUCCGAUACUGUCUAGCUGGAGUACAGGAGAGGAGAGUGGAAUUCCACAUGUAGCGGUGAAAUGCGUAGAUAUGUGGAGGAACACCAAUGGCGAAGGCAGCUCUCUGGCCUGAUACUGACGCUGAGGUGCGAAAGCGUGGGGAGCAAACAGGAUUAGAUACCCCCGUAGUC